Molecule: ribosomal RNA, 253 nt
Filed under: uncultured bacterium
Lineage: Bacteria
Description: partial 16S ribosomal RNA
Rfam family: Bacterial small subunit ribosomal RNA
Source: RNAcentral
UACGUAGGGUGCGAGCGUUGUUCGGAUUCAUUGGGCGUAAAGGGUGCGUAGGUGGCGCUGUAAGUCGGGUGUGAAAUUUCGGAGCUUAACUCCGAAACUGCAUUCGAUACUGCGGUGCUCGAGGACUGGAGAGGAGACUGGAAUUCAUGGUGUAGCAGUGAAAUGCGUAGAGAUCAUGAGGAAGACCAGUGGCGAAGGCGGGUCUCUGGACAGUUCCUGACACUGAGGCACGAAGGCCAGGGGAGCAAACGGG